Molecule: long non-coding RNA, 1653 nt
Organism: Oncorhynchus tshawytscha (Chinook salmon)
Lineage: Eukaryota; Metazoa; Chordata; Actinopteri; Salmoniformes; Salmonidae
Source: Ensembl
UGUCUGACCAGCAUCAUCCCUACAUAAGUGUUCUUCAGCGUUUCAACAACUCAGCAACUCUCACACUUCAAACUACUACAGAUCAAGGUAAGUGUGAUAUCCCUGAAAUAGCACAGAAAAGAUGUUAGCAUGGUAAGAAGUUACAACAGCUUAAAUCAUUGAUAAAUAUGGUAAAUAUGGUAAAUAUGGUGAAGGUAUCUUAGCAUAAAUUAAGUGAAUGUAUAUAUUAUAUUUUUCAAACGUUCAAAGAAGGUGACCUGAGGUUUCCAAAGAUUGAUGAAAACAAUCGAAAUAAACAGAUGGCACAGAUUAGAUGACAGAUAUCAGAUAUUGUCCUGUUCCAGAUGAUUGAAGGACAUGAUGAUGUCAAAAUAACUGUCACGUCCAGACCUUAGUUCCUUUGUUAUGUUUCUUGUUUAGGUUGGUCAGGGCGUGAGUUGGGGUGGGCAUUCUAUGUGUUGUUCUAGUUUGGGUUUUGUGUUUGGCCUGGUAUGGUUCUCAAUCAGAGGCAGCUGUCAAUCAUUGUCUCUGAUUGAGAUCCAUAUUUAGGUAGCCUGUUUUUCCCCACUUGAUUUGUGCGUAGUUGUUUUCUGUUUAGUGUAUGUCACCUUACAGAACUGUUUCGUUUCAUUCGCCGUUGUUAUUUUGUUUAGUGUUCUCUGUUUAAUAAAUAUUAACAUGGAGACGUACCACGCUGCAUAUUGGUCUGAUCGCUCCUACUCCUCCUCAGGCAAGGACGACGAACGUUACAAUAAGAUUCUCUAAUAAGACCUCAACAAAAGAACAUCUUACAUUCUCUAUUUUGACAUUUCCUGUCAACAUCAAAUGUCAUCAUGCUCCCAUUUUGUCCUUUCAAAGGUGAGAAGAGGACAGAGCAACGAAUUGUAGAAAUCUAAGGAUAAUGACAACUGACCAACAGUCGCAGAAUGGGGAACACCAACACUGCCAGCCACCUCAACAACCAGAGCAAGAUGAACAUCCGUGCUUUCCUGUCCAAUGCCAAGCUAGAGAUCGAUGCCUUCAUCGUCUCCAAUGCUGCCGCUGGCAGCAGUGACACAUUGACCAAGCUGCAGCAGCAGCCCGGUGGCAAGACGUUCAACUUCAGGAAAGACGUGCAGUGUGUCCGUGUGCUGGCCUUGCAGAGUCAAGAGCUGCCUUGGGUGGAGAACAAAUUUAUCUCCGUCUUUGUGGAGGACGAGAACGAUGAAAACAUAUGUUCCAGACAGAUUGUUCCGUGCAUGGCUUUGUCCUCUCCUGUGUCUUUCAUCUUAUAUAUGAUGUAUAGCUAUAGCAAUGAUUGAUCCCAUUGAAAUUGUACUCUUUGGUUAAUAUCAUUAGAAGGUGCUCUGACCAGUUCCGACAUUGGCCAUUGUCAGGCAUUCACUAAGGUUGUUUCCCUGAUUUUGAAUCUGUUCAUUUGAACAAACAUGCCAUUGAAAAAGAAGGCUUUUCAAAUAAGUCAUCACAGAACAAACCACAAAACACCUCACGAAUGUGAAAAUGCGCAUUUGUACCUGAACAUUUGAAUGUUGACUCAUCUUUCAGUGAAAUGUAACUAAAUCUAUGUCACUUCUUUAGGGACUUUGGUAUCAUUGACAGCUUCUGAAAAACCUGUAUUCUUCUGUAUCCUUCAAAUAAAACUGUUAGAUGACU